UGGCAUGAAUCAAACACAAGGAGACGUGCA
Molecule: non-coding RNA, 30 nt
Filed under: Rattus norvegicus (Norway rat)
Lineage: Eukaryota; Metazoa; Chordata; Mammalia; Rodentia; Muridae
Source: RNAcentral